UCAGGUGACUAUAGCGAUGAGGCCCACCUCUUCCCAUUCCGAACAGAGAAGUUAAGCUCAUCAGCGCAGAUGGUACUGCCUUUACCGGUGGGAGAGUAUGUCGUUGCCCGAU
This 112-nucleotide ribosomal RNA is filed under the name Bacteroidia bacterium. The record is from RNAcentral. Lineage: Bacteria; Pseudomonadati; Bacteroidota; Bacteroidia.